UUUGGGGCUAGGGUUAGGUUUAAGGUUUUUGGCGUUAGGGUUAAAAUAACUGUCCAAUAUGUAGCAAUCAAGACAACCCUGGAUGUGAAACCCACACAUUCCUUACAGGAAAGUUUCCUUAUCUGGUCCCAGGAAACAGGAUAUAAAUCUUUCCAGACGUGUUUGCACUUUCAGGUUAAAUAAGUGACCCAACCGGAGGUUGACUAAACCUCUGACUCUUCAGGAUUGGUCAGUUCGGCGAACAGAGACAGAGUUUUUAUUACCUUUCAAACUGACUCCAUUUGCUGACCAUCUAAAUAAACAUUAACCUCAACCCAGAUCUCCCAUUUGAGAUUUAGCAUCUUAAAGUGUGUGAACAUACGGACCCCAGGAUAAGGGGGGGACACUGACCUCCAGACCUCGGUCGUAAAACCCUGCUCGACCAUACACUGAUAAAGACUGCAUUCCUUUGGUGAAAGAAUACAAAUGACUGAUCAUGACAUCUUAUGCAUUCAGCAAUGUACUAAUCUGUCUAAUCAUGAAAUUUGUGUUAAAAUGAGAUGUUUCCCAUUUUUCUAUGUGCUCCAGAAGCCGAGUUAUCGCUCUUUAGUUUCUUUAGACCAACAGCUUUUCAGACUGUUUCAUGAACUUUUAAGAGUUACAUUUAUUGACUAUGGAUCAUAACUUUACUCUAUGAACACAGAAAUAGUUUAGAAAUGUUUGGUCUAUAUUUUAAUCGUUUAUUUAGUAUUUUUAACCAUUAGGUGGUUAUAAUGUCAUUGAAUAACCUUAAUGUGAGUAUUUAGAAUCCAUUAUUAAUCAUGAUGAAGUUCAUUCACAUGUGUUUACUCUUUUGUUGUUCACAGUUUCCAUGUGUUACUAUCUGUUUCAUUUCAGAGUAAUUUAGCAUGUUCAAUGUGAUACUUUAAACAUAAUGAGAAUGUUUGAUGUGAUCCUACACUUCAUUCAUAUGUGUUUAGUGUCAAAUUAUUUGUCAUGAAACCAAGCAUUCAAUGAUAUUAAUCAUAGUGAGUGAGUAUCAGAUCUGACUCUUUUACCAGCCAAAAGAAUAAGUUAGAUCAAAUAAUCAAAGACCACACGACCCUCCUCUGUCUCACACACACACGCCGGAGCCACUCCCAGUGUGAGAAGAUAAAACCAGUGAAGUGGGGUUGCUCACUCUCUUAUGCUUCUCUUAUGUCUCUUCUGCUUCUGCUCUUGUGUGCUGACUCUCCUGUCUCUCUUAGGCCCCUUACUCUUGGGCCCUUCUCUUCUGUCCACACCCUUCUGUGGUCCUCUUCUUCUUUGUUUUCUCUUAGAACUUCUUCUUAGUCUUCUAAGUUUUACGCCACGUGUUGAUUCACGUUGAUUUUUCCUUAACAUCGUCUUAGUUCAAGUUUUGAAACUUCAACUUUUUGUGCGCAUAGCAAUUCAAGAUUAAGCCUUUGAUUGAUUUUUCUUUAAUUUUGCAAAGCCAUUUUUGAAAGUUUUCUCUGCUCGAGUCUCGUUUUUCUGAGUUUUCUGCGUGAUCUCAAAGUCACCUCUGAACGCAACCCAGUAGGCCCAGGUCAUCCUCUGUGCCAGAGUUUUUGAGUGAGACCAAAGAAGUACCCAAACGAGCAUCCACAGGAUCCACAGGCGCUGGCUUUACUUCGGGCCCGAGUGCUGCAACUCCUGGCUCAUCCUUCGGCUGACUUCAGUCGUCUUCUGAGCUGAACCGCUCGAACCGCCAGUAGCCCCGGACCUUCGGAACCUGCUCCAUCUUCUCCAAGGACCAGUCUCACUUAAGUAUGCAAACCUCCAGAGCUCCAGACAGGGCUGAUGCUGUCUCAUGCGUUCAUAACUUAGAUAUCCACCUAUUUCUGGUGAUCUUAGAUUCCUCCAAAUCCACAUCCGAGUUUAUCUCGACACCAAAGUUAGUGUAGGUUAAUAUGUUAGCGCAUAUUCACUCACUAUCAUUAACUUUAGUGCUCUUAGCCUGACUCAGAAUCUUUAUUUAUUCACCUAUUAUUAUUUAUCUUCAUUAUCUUAUCAUCAUUUAUUGCAUGUGUGUUGUACCAUCAUUUAUCCUGUAAUAAACAGAUCAUUAUUUUUCUAAGUUCCUGUCUGUUAGUGUUCUUCCAGAAGUGGAGUCCCUGAAAUUAGAAUUUCGACUUAAGAUAUGAGACUGAUUGAUUAAGACUGAUUAAUUAAGACUGAUUAAUUAAAACUGACUUGAUGUUUGAUUUCUGAAUUAAACUUUUGUUUUCUUUAUUUUCCCACCAUUAAGGGUGGGUGGUGCCCCUUUCAACGAGUGCAUAAAUGUCAUAAUUUGAGAUUAUUAAUCUUCAGACAUUUAUUAUAAAUUCCAAUCGCCAAGUAUUAUUUUGGUGCGGCCUUGUGAGGCUCAUUUCAAAUCGCUACAUAUAUUUUGGUGCGACCGUAUGAGGCUCAUUUCAAAGCACUACAAAUAUUUUUUAAGGAACAUGUUUCAGACCUUUGGGAGUUAGUUAGACAAAAAAAAGAAAAAGAAAAAAAUAUAUAUUUGGGGUGUUCGGGUUUCCUGAAGGUAAUACCCGGGUAUUAGGUUAUGGGGCUAGGGUAAGGUUUAAGGUUUUUGGUGUUAGAGUUAAAAUCAGUGUCCAAAACCUUUUUAGGAACAUGUUUAAGACCUUUUAGAGUUGGUUACACCAAAAAAAUGUAAAAUGAAAAAAAAAUAUUUGGGGUGUUCGGGCUUACUGAAGGUAAUACCCGGGUAUUAGGUUUUGGGGCUAGGGUAAGGUUUAAGGUUUUUGGUGUUAGGGUUAAAAUCACUGUCCAAAACCUUUGUAGGAACUCUUUUUCCAACCUUUUGGAGUUAGUUAGACAAAAAAAAUGUAAAAUGAAAAAAAUAUAUUUGGGGUGUUCAAGCUUCCUGAAGGUAAUACCCGGGUACUAGGUUUUGGGGCUAGGGUAAGGUUUAAGGUUUUUGGUGUUAGGGUUAAAAUCACUGUCCAAAACCUUUUUAGGAACAUGUUUCAGACCUUUUGGAGUAGGUUACACCAAAAAAAAAAGUAAAAUGAAAAGAAAAUAUUUGGGGUGUUCAAGCUUCCUGAAGGUAAUACCCGGGUAUUAGGUUUUGGGGCUAGGAUUAGGUUUAAGGUUUUUGGCGUUAGGGUUAAAAUCACCGUCCAAAACCUUUUGCAGGAACUCUUUUCCGACCUUUUGGAGUUAGUUAGACCAAAAAAAAAAAAAAAUGAAAAAAAUAUAUUUGGGGUGUUCGGGCUUCCUGAAGGAAAUACCCGGGUAUUAGGUUUUGGGGCUAGGGUUAGGUUUAAGGUUUUUGGCGUUAGGGUUACAAUAACUGUCCAAUAUUUUUUAAGGAACAUGUUUCAGACCUUUGGGAGUUAGUUAGACAAAAAAAAAAAGAAAAAGAAAAAAAAAAUAUUUGGGGUGUUCGGGUUUCCUGAAGGUAAUAUUAGGUAGGUAUUAGGUUAUGGGGCUAGGGUAAGGUUUAAGGUUUUUGGCGUUAGAGUUAAAAUCAGUGUCCAAAACCUUUUUAGGAACAUGUUUAAGACCUUUUGGAGUUGGUUACACCAAAAAAAAAUGUAAAAUGAAAAAAAAAAUAUUUGGGGUCUUCGGGCUUCCUGAAGGUAAUACCCGUAUAUUAGGUUAUGGGGCUAGGGUAAGGUUUAAGGUUUUUGGUGUUAGGGUUAAAAUCACCGUCCAAAACCUUUGUAGGACCUCUUUUCAAACCUUUUGGUGUUAGUUAGACAAAAAAAAAAAAAAAAAAAAAAAAAUAUAUUUGGGGUCUUCGGGCUUCCUGAAGGAAAUACCCAGGUAUUAGGUUAUGGGGCUAGGGUAAGGUUUAAGGUUUUUGGCGUUAGGGUUAAAAUCAAUGUCCAAAACCUUUUUAGGAACAUGUUUCAGACCUUUUGGAGUUAGUUAGACCAAAAAAAAAUGUAAAAUGAAAAAAAAUUUUUGGGGUGUUCAAGCUUCCUGAAGGUAAUGCCCGAGUAUUAGGUUAUGUGGCUAUAGUAAGGUUUAAGGUUUUUGGGGUUAGGGUUAAAAUCACUGUCCAAAACCUUUUCAGGAACAUGUUUCAGACCUUUUGGAGUAGGUUACACCAAAAAAAAAUGUAAAAUGAAAAGAAAAUAUUUGGGGUGUUCAAGCUUCCUGAAGGUAAUACCCGGGUAUUAGGUUAUGGGGCUAUAGUAAGGUUUAAGGUUUUUGGCGUUAGGGUUAAAAUCACUGUCCAAAACCUUUGUAGGAACUAUUUUCCAACCUUUUGGAGUUAGUUAGACCAAAAAAAAAACGAAAAAUGAAAAAAAAUAUUUGGGGUUUUCGGGCUUACUGAAGGUAAUACCCGGGUAUUAGGUUUUGGGGCUAGGGUUAGGUUUAAGGUUUUUGGCGUUAGGGUUAAAAUCACUGUCCAAUAUUUUUUAAGGAACAUCUUUCAGACCUCUGGGAGUUAGUUAGACAAAAAAAAAAAGAAAAAGAAAAAAAAAAUUGGGGUGUUCGGGCUUCCUGAAGGUAAUACCCGGGUAUUAGGUUUUGGGGCUAGGAUUAGGUUUAAGUUUUUUGGCGUUAGGGUUAAAAUCACUGUCCAAAACCUUUUUAGGAACAUGUUUCAGACCUUUUGGAGUAGGUUACACCAAAAAAAAAAGUAAAAUGAAAAGAAAAUAUUUGGGGUGUUCAAGCUUCCUGAAGGUAAUACCCGGGUAUUAGGUUUUGGGGCUAGGAUUAGGUUUAAGGUUUUUGGCGUUAGGGUUAAAAUCACCGUCCAAAACCUUUUGCAGGAACUCUUUUCCGACCUUUUGGAGUUAGUUAGACCAAAAAAAAAAAAAAAUGAAAAAAAUAUAUUUGGGGUGUUCGGGCUUCCUGAAGGAAAUACCCGGGUAUUAGGUUUUGGGGCUAGGGUUAGGUUUAAGGUUUUUGGCGUUAGGGUUACAAUAACUGUCCAAUAUUUUUUAAGGAACAUGUUUCAGACCUUUGGGAGUUAGUUAGACAAAAAAAAAAGAAAAAGAAAAAAAAAAUAUUUGGGGUGUUCGGGUUUCCUGAAGGUAAUAUUAGGUAGGUAUUAGGUUAUGGGGCUAGGGUAAGGUUUAAGGUUUUUGGCGUUAGAGUUAAAAUCAGUGUCCAAAACCUUUUUAGGAACAUGUUUAAGACCUUUUGGAGUUGGUUACACCAAAAAAAAAUGUAAAAUGAAAAAAAAAAAUAUUUGGGGUGUUCGGGCUUCCUGAAGGUAAUACCCGUAUAUUAGGUUUUGGAGCUAGGGUAAGGUUUAAGGUUUUUGGUGUUAGGGUUAAAAUCACUGUCCAAAACCUUUGUAGGAACUCUUUUCCAACCUUUUGGUGUUAGUUAGACCAAAAAAAAAAGAAAAAAGAAAAAAAUAUAUUUGGGGUCUUCGGGCUUCCUGAAGGAAAUACCCAGGUAUUAGGUUAAGGGGCUAGGGUAAGGUUUAAGGUUUUUGGCGUUAGGGUUAAAAUCAAUGUCCAAAACCUUUUUAGGAACAUGUUUCAGACCUUUUGGAGUUAGUUAGACCAAAAAAAAAUGUAAAAUGAAAAAAAAUUUUUGGGGUGUUCAAGCUUCCUGAAGGUAAUGCCCGAGUAUUAGGUUAUGUGGCUAUAGUAAGGUUUAAGGUUUUUGGGGUUAGGGUUAAAAUCACUGUCCAAAACCUUUUCAGGAACAUGUUUCAGACCUUUUGGAGUAGGUUACACCAAAAAAAAAUGUAAAAUGAAAAGAAAAUAUUUGGGGUGUUCAAGCUUCCUGAAGGUAAUACCCGGGUAUUAGGUUAUGGGGCUAUAGUAAGGUUUAAGGUUUUUGGCGUUAGGGUUAAAAUCACUGUCCAAAACCUUUGUAGGAACUAUUUUCCAACCUUUUGGAGUUAGUUAGACCAAAAAAAAAACGAAAAAUGAAAAAAAAUAUUUGGGGUUUUCGGGCUUACUGAAGGUAAUACCCGGGUAUUAGGUUUUGGGGCUAGGGUUAGGUUUAAGGUUUUUGGCGUUAGGGUUAAAAUCACUGUCCAAUAUUUUUUAAGGAACAUCUUUCAGACCUCUGGGAGUUAGUUAGACAAAAAAAAAGAAAAAGAAAAAAAAAUUGGGGUGUUCGGGCUUCCUGAA
Non-coding RNA from Xyrichtys novacula (pearly razorfish), 6059 nucleotides. The record is from the annotation of a GenBank genome assembly. NCBI's taxonomy places the organism in Eukaryota, Metazoa, Chordata, Actinopteri, Labriformes, Labridae.